CCUCCCAAGAGUGAUGUGCUCACAUGUUCCAAAAAGAGACACCCAGAUGAGGAAACUGCUUGAUGCUGGUUCACAUGGAUGCUGGAGACUUUUGCUCAGUAUAUGCAGAAGGAUGAGAUGCCUGCAUCAGGAAGAUAUGUGAAAACCAAGGAUUUCAGAUAUUAUUUUCCCACCGAGAAAGAGAACUCUGCAUUUACCUGGGAGGUGUUAGAGGGAUGGUGUGUGAUUUUUGAGUAUAAGAAAAAAGAUCCACACAGUUCUCCUAUUCUCAACAUCUGGGAUGCUGUCCUGGGUAUUCUGUAAUGCAGCACUGGAAGGUGCUAGGUGCCACAAUCAGCAGGAUCCCUCUGAUGCUAUUUUGAAUGGUGUUUCAGUUGUCAUGCACCGGUGUGGACCUGUCCACAGCGCAGGGGACUCUUCUAGUCAACUGUCAGUGUCCGGGAGGCUUCUGUCCUCCUCCGCCAGGCAGCAUGGAGAUGGGCUGGAAUUGCCUUUGCUGACAUCUCCUGGACAGAAGCCUUGGGAGAAACACAAAGAGAAGAUUCAUUCUUUGUGGUAGUCCAAGAAUAGCCAAACUCUGCAGCCCUCCUCCUCCGAAUGCCAACUGCAGCUUUCAGUAGCAGGAGUCCCCCUUUGGAUUCACGCCCCUCUCAGACAGCUCAGGUUUGAAAAGCUGAAAAUUCCCCUUCAUUAGAGAAGAAUUAUGUGACCUCUAUGGAAAAUGUGGAAGACAUAUGUUAAGAAAAUGUGUGUUGUCUGUAACAUCAUUAGUAGAGAAACAACAUUAAAAUUCGAUGUUGUUUCCUCCUAGGAGUUUAUUAUGCGUUUCACAUUGAUGGCACCAUACUGUAAGACAUAAUUUAGUAUUCUGCUAGUUAAAACUUUAAA
This is a non-coding RNA of Peromyscus maniculatus bairdii (prairie deer mouse), 888 nucleotides long. The record is from RefSeq and is a predicted model, not a curated record. Lineage: Eukaryota; Metazoa; Chordata; Mammalia; Rodentia; Cricetidae.